This 562-nucleotide ribosomal RNA is filed under the name uncultured bacterium. Its description in RNAcentral is "bacterial SSU rRNA". It matches the Rfam family "Bacterial small subunit ribosomal RNA", at positions 337 to 917 of the family's 1533-position model. The record is from RNAcentral.
UCCUACGGGAGGCAGCAGUGGGGAAUCUUGGACAAUGGGCGCAAGCCUGAUCCAGCCAUGCCGCGUGAGUGAUGAAGGCCCUAGGGUCGUAAAGCUCUUUCGCCAGGGAUGAUAAUGACAGUACCUGGUAAAGAAACCCCGGCUAACUCCGUGCCAGCAGCCGCGGUAAUACGGAGGGGGUUAGCGUUGUUCGGAAUUACUGGGCGUAAAGCGCACGUAGGCGGAUCAGAAAGUUGGGGGUGAAAUCCCGGGGCUCAACCCCGGAACUGCCUCCAAAACUCCUGGUCUUGAGUUCGAGAGAGGUGAGUGGAAUUCCGAGUGUAGAGGUGAAAUUCGUAGAUAUUCGGAGGAACACCAGUGGCGAAGGCGGCUCACUGGCUCGAUACUGACGCUGAGGUGCGAAAGUGUGGGGAGCAAACAGGAUUAGAUACCCUGGUAGUCCACACCGUAAACGAUGAAUGCCAGUCGUCGGGUAGCAUGCUAUUCGGUGACACACCUAACGGAUUAAGCAUUCCGCCUGGGGAGUACGGUCGCAAGAUUAAAACUCAAAGGAAUUGACGGA